AUUGAACGCUGGCGGCAGGCCUAACACAUGCAAGUCGAGCGGUAGAGAGGUGCUUGCACCUCUUGAGAGCGGCGGACGGGUGAGUAAUACCUAGGAAUCUGCCUGGUAGUGGGGGAUAACGUUCGGAAACGGACGCUAAUACCGCAUACGUCCUACGGGAGAAAGCAGGGGACCUUCGGGCCUUGCGCUAUCAGAUGAGCCUAGGUCGGAUUAGCUAGUUGGUGAGGUAAUGGCUCACCAAGGCUACGAUCCGUAACUGGUCUGAGAGGAUGAUCAGUCACACUGGAACUGAGACACGGUCCAGACUCCUACGGGAGGCAGCAGUGGGGAAUAUUGGACAAUGGGCGAAAGCCUGAUCCAGCCAUGCCGCGUGUGUGAAGAAGGUCUUCGGAUUGUAAAGCACUUUAAGUUGGGAGGAAGGGCAUUAACCUAAUACGUUAGUGCUUUGACGUUACCGACAGAAUAAGCACCGGCUAACUCUGUGCCAGCAGCCGCGGUAAUACAGAGGGUGCAAGCGUUAAUCGGAAUUACUGGGCGUAAAGCGCGCGUAGGUGGUUUGUUAAGUUGAAUGUGAAAUCCCCGGGCUCAACCUGGGAACUGCAUCCAAAACUGGCAAGCUAGAGUAUGGUAGAGGGUAGUGGAAUUUCCUGUGUAGCGGUGAAAUGCGUAGAUAUAGGAAGGAACACCAGUGGCGAAGGCGACUACCUGGACUGAUACUGACACUGAGGUGCGAAAGCGUGGGGAGCAAACAGG
RNAcentral lists this ribosomal RNA (753 nucleotides) under uncultured bacterium. RNAcentral's name for it is "bacterial SSU rRNA". It matches the Rfam family "Bacterial small subunit ribosomal RNA", at positions 28 to 776 of the family's 1533-position model. The record is from RNAcentral.